Molecule: transfer RNA, 77 nt
Filed under: Fibrobacterota bacterium
Lineage: Bacteria; Pseudomonadati; Fibrobacterota
Also listed under: 2 other names
Description: Fibrobacteres bacterium tRNA-Arg
Rfam family: tRNA
About the family: Transfer RNA (tRNA) molecules are approximately 80 nucleotides in length. Their secondary structure includes four short double-helical elements and three loops (D, anti-codon, and T loops).
Source: RNAcentral
GCACCAGUAGCUCAGCUGGAUAGAGCGCUGCCCUCCGAAGGCAGAGGUCGCAGGUUCGACUCCUGCCUGGUGUACCA